This 1500-nucleotide long non-coding RNA is filed under the name Calidris pygmaea (Spoon-billed sandpiper). Its description in RNAcentral is "lncRNA (ENSCPGG00000011618.1)". The record is from RNAcentral. Lineage: Eukaryota; Metazoa; Chordata; Aves; Charadriiformes; Scolopacidae.
CCACCAAGACCUUCCUCGCUCCCACGUCUGGAACCAGACCCUUAUUUCAAAUCGGCUUCCCAGAGAGAAAGAUAUCUCCCCCCUGGGGGAAGCGUCUCGGGAGCCUGGGCCUAGCGAGCUGCUGCGCUCACCCCAGGCAGGCAAGGCAAGUCAGGCAGACAAAUAAAAAAAAAAAAAAAAAAAAAAAAAAAGAGAGGCUGGGGAGGGAGGAGUGGUGAGGAGAGUCAUCUGACACAUCCAACUUCCUAAGUUUGUUGUCCGCAGGAGACCGAUCCGCUCUAACCCUCACCCCUCAAAACCCAGAGAAGGCUGUGACAACAAUAACAAGAGCUUUCUCACUUUUUUUGGGGGGGGGAAACCAAAACAAAAAACCUUUGGGUUUCUUUUGUNGGGGAGGGAGGAGUGGUGAGGAGAGUCAUCUGACACAUCCAACUUCCUAAGUUUGUUGUCCGCAGGAGACCGAUCCGCUCUAACCCUCACCCCUCAAAACCCAGAGAAGGCUGUGACAACAAUAACAAGAGCUUUCUCACUUUUUUGGGGGGGGGGAAACCAAAACAAAAAACCUUUGGGUUUCUUUUGUCGGGGGGGGGGUGGAGAAAGAGAGCAGAGCGGAAACUACCCAGUGUCAGGAGGAAUGCCAGAUAUUUGGGGCUUUCUACCUACCACCGCACGGCCCCGGCCGCCACUAGGAACACAGGGCGAGCAAAGCCACUUCAGAAAAAACCUGCUCUUUGUCUCCGAAAAUGCUGCGAUCACUGGAGAUGCCGGCUACAAACUGAACAAAAAGAGGGGAAAAAAAAAAAAAAAAGAGAGACAGAGAGAGGGGGAGGGGAAAGGAGAGCAGCAGCAGAUCAGGUUGGGCCUCAGCCCCUCUCCGGCCCAGACCUCUUUCCAGACUAUCCCUAAGGAAGAUUUUAUUUCCCCACACACACACACAAACAGCUGGAAUUCCCGACCCUCCUCCCGGUGCGAUUAAGCAUCGAUCGCAAUUGGCGUUCGGCAGAGUAUGACAUGUGUGUAACUUUAAACCCCCGGAUAAAAAUAGCUCCGAUUCAUGCACGAUCGGUAGUCAUUUCCUAUUUGCUUAAAAACAAGGCAAAAAAUAUACGAAGAGCAGCUUUGUAGAGAGAGAAACGCGCAGGCUGAACGUCAAACAGAAGUUUCCUUCGAUAAGCCACCCUCACGCCACAAACAGGAGCUGGUGCUGCUCCUCCCUCCUCCCUCCCCACCCCCCCUCCAGAAAAAAAAAACACAAAAUCCAAGUAAGUUUGUUUAUCUCUCUCUGGAAACUAAAUCAGACCCAUUUCCCGACCCCCUGACACCGCCAAGUUAGAGCCACCAGAGCCGAGUCCUGCUGAGGGAGGUCAGGCACGUUCGGUCAACAGAGCUGAAAAACAUUUCAGCCACUCUUGUCAUUUCUACCCCUUCUCGGCACACACCGCCACCUUGUAAACAAAAACUAUUAAUAAAACAAUCCCAGAACCAAAUUCCCGAUGGUAU